This is a long non-coding RNA of Nymphaea colorata (pocket water lily), 913 nucleotides long. RefSeq lists it as uncharacterized. Lineage: Eukaryota; Viridiplantae; Streptophyta; Magnoliopsida; Nymphaeales; Nymphaeaceae. The transcript is spliced from 2 exons. The record is from RefSeq and is a predicted model, not a curated record.
GUUAGUGAUGAAAGUUGAAAAGAAUCUAGCAUUAUGCAUUAUGGAAAACGAAAACUCUCCUUUAAGCCCCGUAGGAAUUCACCCCGCAAAACUCGUACGAUCGCAGCAUUUUUCACCCGGUAAAAAGUCCGAGGUUAGAACUCGGACUUUUUACCACGGAUAUUUCUCCUCUUUCGCCUCUUCCCCUCUCGGUCUCUCGUUCCUCUCCUCUCGCAGGGCCUCUUCUCUAUCGCUCGCUUCAUCCUGUUUUCUCUCGUAUUUCCCUUCCGUCGCCUCUUCCCCUCUCCUCUCUCGGUCUCUCGUUCAUGUCCGCUCUCAGAGCCUCUUCUCUCUCGCUCUCUCCAGCCUAUCUCGUUUUCUCCUCUUCCCCUCUCCUCUCUCGGUCUCUCAUUCCUCUGCUCUCUUGCUCUCUUGUUCUGUCGUUCCACUCCUCUGUUGCUCUAUCUUCCUUCAGACGCACGACCUCAAGCACCAUCUUCAACAGGAAAUUUCUGUUCUUCCCUCGUCGCUGCUCCUUUACUAAGGUAUGAUACGACUGUGGCGCAUGCUGUUUUAACAGUUUUUCCAGUGUUGAUGUUUCAUUUCCUAAUAACUGGUGUAGUUUUGGCUACAAUUUGUUGGUAUGUGUUUAACAAGCACAUAAACAGCUAGGGAAAGGAAAUAUUAGUUGGUCAUAGUAAAAAUGAUGAACAUAUUUGUAACUUAGGAAAUAUUAGUUGGUCAUAGUAAAAAUGAUGAACAUAUUUGUAACUUCACAUGUUAUGAUUUCUUAUGUUAAAGCAGCAUAACAUGGGAGGGCUAGUGUCCACAUGUCUUAUGUGAAAGCAUCUUAUGUGAAAGCAUCAUCACAUGUCUUGCUCAUUCAUUUUCAUAUUGGACAUAUGAAUUACGAUUGCCAUAUGCUUAUCCUCUA